GUUCAGUAAGUAAUACCCCCACCCAAAACUUGAUCCACCAGUCACUGGGCCCCAUCAGAAGUUGCUCAGGCGUAAAAAAAAUAACUGUGGUUCCGGUUCCCAACCGACCCUAUUUUUUUUUGCCGACCCUAUUAUUUUUUCAACGCGAUUGACUGUGCAACCCUAUUUUCUCUGGGUGGUUGCAGGCUGCUACCAAAAUGGCAUCUGUUGUCACCAUGAAAAAAAACAUGAAAAAUAUUUUUAAAAAAAUUAUUUCCGACCUACCGACCCUAAUUUUUUCACGAGAUGAAACCGGAACCACAGCUGUUUUUUUACGCCUCAUUCGUCAUCCUUUUCAAGAUCACGUCCAUGCUAUUUAUUGUAUGGAGUAAUUGGAAAUGAAAAACUGUUUUUAAAACCAGUCAUUAGUAAAUGCAGAGUUAAAGACAUGUAUAAAUUUGAAGAGUAUAAAAGUUAUCAUAGUAACUAAAAAGUCGGAGUUACCAUGGCAACUACAUGUAAAAAGUUAUCUGUGAAACAUUCUAUGAUCCAGCAAUCUUGCAUAUAAGCUUUUUUAAGAAAAAUAUUUGUUUUAAGAUGAAAAUGUGUUCAUGAAUGAACGCUAUUCUUUAGGUUUGUGACAUUGUUAUGACCCAAUAUGAUGUCACAUAGUCUUCAUGGUAACACAAUUUUGAAUUUCUUAAUGUACCGGUACUAGUACUGUCAACUUGUAUCAUAAAAUGUUUAAAAUCACAUCUGAGAUGGUAUUUGUCAAUAAUAAAUUGGCUAAUUUCAUAUACCAGUAAUUUAUUGCAAUUUUAUUUAAUGAUGUCAUACAGUUGCCAUAGCAAUGGUAAAUGUUCGUCUGUAUCACCAUUAUGUAGGUUCAGGUGUCACCAAUGCAUUCUGAAAAUUUUGUUUUGAUCGGAUGAAUGGUCUAGAAGUUAUGGCCAAAAGGGUUAAAAACCAGGGGGGGUUGAUGGCCUCUCUUCAUCUCUUCACUUCCAGUGUAUAAGAAAAUUGCCUAAAACAUGGCUGAUUAAGAUUUAAGAAAAUCCCUUUCUCUGAAACUAACAAGAAGUGAGAUCUCUGUAUGGUAUGUAAACUUAAUCUAAUUGAUUUCAUUCUUGUACUAAGGUGUGCAUUGAAUUUUGCAUUAUUUUAUCACCCAAAAUUACUGGUAAGUUAAAAAAUUACACAGCAAUUUCAGUUUGGUCCAUACAAUCUUCAGUUCUGGUCAAUCUUUUUACCGGCUCAAGCUGGAACCAAAACUUUAAUUAACAAAUUUGUGUAUCAAUAUUGUCAGAAGUGCACCUUUUAUCAGUUAUGGUGACUGUUAUUUAAUACUCUAUUUUCCCCACAACAUUUUGUUUCAGUAAUCUUUUGCAUUAAAAAAUACAGUUCUACAGAAAAGAAUUUCAACAGGAUAAAGGUAUGACAUGUUGGAACUUUGAAGCAGAAGCUAUGGGUAGCAGUACUUUGGGAAGCCUUAGCUUGGGCCGCAGCUUGCAAAUAAAGAUACAUUUGAUAUUCACCCUUUCCUAGGUUUGGACGUGCACACACCUU
Molecule: non-coding RNA, 1545 nt
Organism: Paramuricea clavata
Lineage: Eukaryota; Metazoa; Cnidaria; Anthozoa; Malacalcyonacea; Plexauridae
Source: the annotation of a GenBank genome assembly